UUUCAUGAAACAGGAGGGCAUAGCAUAGAAGGAAGCAUCAUCAUAUCACACCUUCAUGCUGCAGAGGAAGACAGGAGUGACACUGCCCACACAGUGAUGGCAAAGAGAAUUUCCACAAGUGUAGGAAGAAUGCAGCUUCACAUCUGGGCAGCACGGCACCUGUGCAUCCAGCCAGCUGUCACACAGUGAUAACAGUGACAACGGUGUCUUCACAUUUUGUAUCUGCUGUGACCUGCGAAUUGGAAAUGGAUGAAAGUGCAUACAAGCCAUGUCUACACAGCGCCACAUGUCAGGAUACUCUUGGGGCUUACUUCUAUGACUGUGC
RNAcentral lists this long non-coding RNA (325 nucleotides) under Rattus norvegicus (Norway rat). RNAcentral describes it as "long non-coding RNA NONRATT033688". The record is from RNAcentral. Lineage: Eukaryota; Metazoa; Chordata; Mammalia; Rodentia; Muridae.